AAGUCGAAGGGGUAGAAGAAUGCUUGCAUUCUUGAAGACCGGCGCACGGGUGCGUAACGCGUAUACAAUCUGCCUCUUACUGCGGGAUAGCCCAGAGAAAUUUGGAUUAAUACCGCAUAGUAUAAUUACUUGGCAUCAAGUUAUUAUUAAAGGUUACGGUAAGAGAUGAGUAUGCGUUCUAUUAGCUAGAUGGAGUGGUAACGGCACACCAUGGCAACGAUAGAUAGGGGUCCUGAGAGGGAGAUCCCCCACACUGGUACUGAGACACGGACCAGACUCCUACGGGAGGCAGCAGUGAGGAAUAUUGGACAAUGGAGGCAACUCUGAUCCAGCCAUGCCGCGUGCAGGAAGACUGCCCUAUGGGUUGUAAACUGCUUUUGUACGGGAAGAAACAACUCUACGUGUAGAGUCUUGACGGUACCGUAAGAAUAAGGAUCGGCUAACUCCGUGCCAGCAGCCGCGGUAAUACGGAGGAUCCAAGCGUUAUCCGGAAUCAUUGGGUUUAAAGGGUCCGUAGGUGGAUGAUUAAGUCAGAGGUGAAAUCCUGCAGCUCAACUGUAGAAUUGCCUUUGAUACUGGUUAUCUUGAAUCAAUGUGAAGUGGUUAGAAUAUGUAGUGUAGCGGUGAAAUGCAUAGAUAUUACAUAGAAUA
RNAcentral lists this ribosomal RNA (651 nucleotides) under Mariniflexile jejuense. RNAcentral describes it as "bacterial SSU rRNA". It matches the Rfam family "Bacterial small subunit ribosomal RNA", at positions 59 to 708 of the family's 1533-position model. The record is from RNAcentral. Lineage: Bacteria; Pseudomonadati; Bacteroidota; Flavobacteriia; Flavobacteriales; Flavobacteriaceae.